AGAACGAACGCUGGCGGCAGGCCUAACACAUGCAAGUCGAACGCCCGUAGCAAUACGGGAGUGGCAGACGGGUGAGUAACGCGUGGGAACGUGCCCUUCGGUUCGGAAUAACUCAGGGAAACUUGAGCUAAUACCGGAUACGUCCGUAAGGAGAAAGAUUUAUUGCCGAAGGAUCGGCCCGCGUCGGAUUAGCUAGUUGGUGGGGUAAUGGCCCACCAAGGCGACGAUCCGUAGCUGGUCUGAGAGGAUGAUCAGCCACACUGGGACUGAGACACGGCCCAGACUCACGGAGGCAGCAGUGGGAAUAUUGGACAAUGGGCGAAAGCCUAGAUCCAGCCAUGCCGCGUGAGUGAAGAAGGCCUUAGGGUU
This 369-nucleotide ribosomal RNA is filed under the name uncultured soil bacterium. RNAcentral describes it as "bacterial SSU rRNA". It matches the Rfam family "Bacterial small subunit ribosomal RNA", at positions 26 to 424 of the family's 1533-position model. The record is from RNAcentral.